This 474-nucleotide ribosomal RNA is filed under the name uncultured bacterium. RNAcentral describes it as "bacterial SSU rRNA". It matches the Rfam family "Bacterial small subunit ribosomal RNA", at positions 29 to 521 of the family's 1533-position model. The record is from RNAcentral.
AAUGAACGUUGGCGGCGUGGAUUAGGCAUGCAAGUCGAGCGCUCAUAGCAAUAUGGGAGCGGCGAACGGCGUAGGAAUUCAUAGGAACGUACCCUCAGGACGGGGAUAGCUACGGGAAACUGUAGGUAAUACCCGAUGAUCUCCGCGGAGCAAAGGUGUGAUUCCGCCUGAGGAGCGGCUUAUGCGAUAUUAGCUAGUUGGUGGGGUAAUGGCCUACCAAGGCGACGAUGUCUAGGGGGGUGUGAGAGCAUGGCCCCCACGACCGGAACUGAGAUACUGUCCGGACACCUACGGGUGGCUGCAGUCGAGAAUCUUCCGCAAUGGACGAAAGUCUGACGGAGCGACGCCGCGUGCGGGAUGAAGGCCCUUGGGUUGUAAACCGCUUUCGGAGGGGAUGAAAUCCUCGAGGGUUCUCCCUCGAGGUUGACAGAGCCUCAAAGAAGCACGGGCUAAGUACGUGCCAGCAGCCGCGGU